GUGAUGUAAAUAACACCGACGAAAUAAAAGAUGGUCACGAUCAACCCAACAGUGAUUCCAAGGACAACCGGUCGUUGAUCGACAAUAAUACUGCACAAAGCCUCGCUGGUGAAGAUAUAGAAGACAUGCGAAGGGUGCUAAGGGUAAUGAAAUAAUUGAAGCUCUCAUUGCCAAUAGUGCAACAUUUGAUAAGAAAACAUCAUUCUCACAGGAGAAAUAUAGACUUAAGAAGCAGAAGAAAUAUGCACCAAGGGUACUUAUAAGGCGUCCUGUUGCUCGAAGCAUAUGUGAGGCCUAUUUCAAGAAGUAUCCAUUAAAAAUUGGCUCUUCGAUGAAGUUGUGCUUUCACAUCAGUUUGUUUAUAGUGGCUUUAAGUCAUGGUGUCGUCAGCUUAGAUCAAGUGGUAUUAUGUGCUGGUUGGAACUUUGAACUGUCAAAGUUAUGUUCGUUGUGAAUUUGUAGGUUUAGUUUUGACCGGUUGUGUAAUGUGGGUGUGUUUAUCAGCUCCCUAAAUUCGUCUUGAAUGCAGAUUGGUAGUAGAAAUUAUUGUAGAAGUGUUAAAAAGUUAUAUUUUAGUGUUGGGAUAUCAGUGUAAUCGUUUGAUAAGGAUCUGGCAUGAGUUGUCUUUUGAUUCGGUAUUUUAAACAAUUUUAAAUUUGGUGCAAGUGAGUUUUGGUGAGUAAGGCGUAGGUAGUGGUGGGGAGUGUGUCUAUGCAACAGUGUUUAGAAUUUCUUAUCACAGAAUUGAAUGUGGUGAUAUCUGUGUUGUAUAUGUUUUUGGUUUUUCAUAUGUUUUUGGUGUCAAUUGUUACUAUCACUGCUGGUGCGUUCUUUGGUAUCAAUUGUUACUAUCACUGGUGCGUUCUUUAUGUUUUCUUACGACAAAAUUGGUGUUAU
This is a long non-coding RNA of Vicia villosa (hairy vetch), 897 nucleotides long. RefSeq lists it as uncharacterized. NCBI's taxonomy places the organism in Eukaryota, Viridiplantae, Streptophyta, Magnoliopsida, Fabales, Fabaceae. The record is from RefSeq and is a predicted model, not a curated record. The transcript has 5 exons.